UUUUUAACCAAUGCUUAUACACAACAUUCUGGUCCACACUAGUACCAGAUGGUGGCGGUAAUGCACCAAAAAGUUGUUUGCCAACCGCCAAUAAACCUUAGUCGAAGAAGAAGACGUCAAGAAGAUCGAGGCACGGACUGUACGCUGUUAAAACUUCACUAAGGUAUGUCACACCGUGUGAUCACACUGUUCUGUACUCGAUAACUUAAAGGUUUGGUGUUUUAUUGCUCCUUAGAUCGGUGUUGGACCGGCGAACACUUUAGGCCUAUUAUCAUUCAGAGGACUUGCUAACAUGAAGAAAAUGGUCCAGAGGUUCCACCUGAGAGCCGGGACUGUCAAACAGUAAGAGACAACGAAAAGGGGGGAACUGUCUUUAAGUUGUGGAGUCAGAUGGAGGGCUCGCAUUUACCUCAAAAACGGCAUUGCAGAAGACUCGAACAACUAGAACCAACUCAAGCACACAAUGGUGACACACAUUUGUAAGACCUUUCCCUGUGAUAUAAAAUUUCCCUGUGGUAAUUAUUCAGAUUCUUCUCAUUCUCAUUGUGUAACACUGUUUUAAGCUUGUUGAAUAUUAUGUACAGUAAGCACUAGAAGUAGAGACUUAUAUUACUUGGGGUAGUGUUUUAAAUUAACUUUAAUUUUGCUUUUGGGGGCGUGGUUAUGACUCCGAACUAGGCGCACGCUUUUCUGUGAGCUCCUGGCGUUGUUCGUUUAAAAUCCUGAAUACCAUCCUCUUUAUUCACCGACACGAUUUUAUUUUGUUUUA
This is a long non-coding RNA of Onychostoma macrolepis, 769 nucleotides long. RefSeq lists it as uncharacterized. The record is from RefSeq and is a predicted model, not a curated record. NCBI's taxonomy places the organism in Eukaryota, Metazoa, Chordata, Actinopteri, Cypriniformes, Cyprinidae. The transcript has 3 exons.